UACGUAGGUGGCAAGCGUUGUCCGGAUUUACUGGGCGUAAAGAGCGCGCAGGCGGUCGUUCAAGUCGAGUGUGAAAGCCCCCGGCUCAACUGGGGAGGGUCACUCGAUACUGAUCGACUCGAAGGCAGAAGAGGGAAGCGGAAUUCCCGGUGUAGUGGUGAAAUGCGCAGAUAUCAGGAGGAACACCGGUGGCGAAGGCGGGUCUCUGGGCCGAAACUGGACGCUGAGGAGCGAAAGCGUGGGGAGCAAACAGGA
Molecule: ribosomal RNA, 255 nt
Filed under: uncultured bacterium
Lineage: Bacteria
Description: partial 16S ribosomal RNA
Rfam family: Bacterial small subunit ribosomal RNA
Source: RNAcentral